RNA transcript from Brassica napus (rape), 1465 nucleotides. RefSeq lists it as uncharacterized. Lineage: Eukaryota; Viridiplantae; Streptophyta; Magnoliopsida; Brassicales; Brassicaceae. The record is from RefSeq and is a predicted model, not a curated record. The transcript is spliced from 4 exons.
GAAAGUUGAUCCCUUUCUUUCUCUCUCCUUUAUCUGAUUCCUGUGCGAGAGAUUCUGAUUUUAUUCAGCGUAGAGACAAAAAGAAGUCACUCCACACACCAACUCACACACACUGAAGCGAACCUAAACUUUCAUUAAAAAUCGUCCAUCGUUUCGAUAGAUCAUGCCGCCAGGUGCGAAGAAGAGAAAGGCGUUGAAGAAGAAGAAGCAGCAGCAACAACAGGAACCGACUGUAACAAGCACGAACACUAAGGGAUCCACCAAUGGCGAUAAUCACCAUGUUCUCUGAUCAUCUGUUUCGAGCUAAGAAUUGAUGAAUGAAUGCUUCUUCAGCCCCGUUCGUUUGGUUGCCGCAGGUUUCGGCGUCAGCAGCGGCGGCAGCGUCAAUGAGAACAGUUGUUGUUUGUUUCGCAGACGCUGCUGACGCUGCCGCUGACGCUGCCGCAUGUUAUAUCGCGACCGCAAGUUUUAUCGACGCAGCUUCCUGCGUCAACAAAACGAACAAAAGUUGACGCAGAAUGUUGACGCUGCCACUGCCGCCGGUACCUGCGGCAACCAAACGAACAGCCCUUUCGUUCAUUGAACUUGAGCUACACUUUGUUGGACUGAUGAAGAAGAACAACAGAGUUAGUAUUUUUGUUUACUCAGUAUUUGUUUGAUCUUUGUGAAGAGAAAGGACAUGAUGAAAAUGGAAGGCAAGAUGAUAGGGGAAGUGAUGAUAGCAGUUUGAGUUCCCCUGCUUCUCAAGGAAGUGGAGAAUUUGGCGAGGCAAAAGAUCCAUCUGGUUUGGUGAAUGACACUGCUAAAGAGAUAUCAGAUCAUGUUACUCAGGGGCUAGGACCAAAAAAUGGUAUUGAAAGAGGAAAGGAUGACAAGAAAAACUCUGUGGACUUAGCUUCUCAGGAUGCUUGUGGCAAUUCGAUCAAGGAAAUCACUCCUGUUGCCAAACCUGAAAAGACUGAGCAUGCUGAGACCUCAACACACUCAAAUUUAGUCAACAACAAGUCUGAUGGAACGAAGGAGUAUCCAUCUCCGGAGAAAGAUAAUGGUAAGGUGGCGGCUACUCUUCCUGGGUCUGCUGCUGGAACAAGCAGAAAUGUAGGGAGUAUAAUAAAAUCUGAAGUUCCAGUGUCCUCUGAGGAGAAGCGUCUCUUGUUGACUGAUCCACCAGCCGUCCGAACUUCCUGGUUAAGUUGCUGCGGUUUGUUUGAUGCAGUGACAGGAUCUGACAGAUAAACACAGGAGGUAGAUAAAGGUGGGACGCGCAUGACAGCCAAAGCUCAAAGACAACCGAAAAACAUGAUUCACGGUCCGUAAACUUUUCUCUGUACAUUGUCUUUGGUAGAUAAUAAUGUGGGCGGCUUUUAGCAACAUACGAACAAGACCAACAUCCUUAACUGGGUACAUUUGUUCAUUAAAUGGAUUUUAGAUUCAUGACUAAAUCUAGCUCAAUCUUUCUUAUCAA